UACGUAGGGUGCCAAGCGUUAAUCGGAAUUACUGGGCGUAAAGCGUGCGCAGGCGGUUUUGUAAGACAGGCGUGAAAAUCCCCCGGGCUCAACCCUGGGGAAUGGCGCUUGUGACUGCAAAGCUGGAGUGCGGCAGAGGGGGGAUGGGAAUUCCGCGUGUAGCAGUGAAAUGCGUAGAUAUGCGGAGGAACACCAAUGGCGAAGGGCAAUCCCCCUGGG
RNAcentral lists this ribosomal RNA (219 nucleotides) under uncultured bacterium. Its description in RNAcentral is "partial 16S ribosomal RNA". It matches the Rfam family "Bacterial small subunit ribosomal RNA", at positions 524 to 733 of the family's 1533-position model. The record is from RNAcentral.